This 23-nucleotide small nuclear RNA is filed under the name Arabidopsis thaliana (thale cress). RNAcentral describes it as "snRNA_18537". Lineage: Eukaryota; Viridiplantae; Streptophyta; Magnoliopsida; Brassicales; Brassicaceae. The record is from RNAcentral.
UUCUAGAUCUACUAUCAUCUAUU